This 465-nucleotide ribosomal RNA is filed under the name Vreelandella stevensii. RNAcentral's name for it is "partial 16S ribosomal RNA". It matches the Rfam family "Bacterial small subunit ribosomal RNA", at positions 338 to 795 of the family's 1533-position model. Lineage: Bacteria; Pseudomonadati; Pseudomonadota; Gammaproteobacteria; Oceanospirillales; Halomonadaceae. The record is from RNAcentral.
CCUACGGGAGGCAGCAGUGGGGAAUAUUGGACAAUGGGGGGAACCCUGAUCCAGCCAUGCCGCGUGUGUGAAGAAGGCCCUCGGGUUGUAAAGCACUUUCAGUGAGGAAGAACGCCUGGUGGUUAAUACCCAUCAGGAAAGACAUCACUCACAGAAGAAGCACCGGCUAACUCCGUGCCAGCAGCCGCGGUAAUACGGAGGGUGCGAGCGUUAAUCGGAAUUACUGGGCGUAAAGCGCGCGUAGGUGGCUUGAUAAGCCGGUUGUGAAAGCCCCGGGCUCAACCUGGGAACGGCAUCCGGAACUGUCAAGCUAGAGUGCAGGAGAGGAAGGUAGAAUUACCGGUGUAGCGGUGAAAUGCGUAGAGAUCGGGAGGAAUACCAGUGGCGAAGGCGGCCUUCUGGACUGACACUGACACUGAGGUGCGAAAGCGUGGGUAGCAAACAGGAUUAGAUACCCUGGUAGUC